CCUACGGGCGGCAGCAGUGAGGAAUAUUGGUCAAUGGUCGGGAGACUGAACCAGCCAAGCCGCGUGAGGGAUGAAGGUACAGAGUAUCGUAAACCUCUUUUGUCAGGGAACAAAGGCGGGGACGUGUCCCCGGAUGAGUGUACCUGAAGACAAAGCAUCGGCUAACUCCGUGCCAGCAGCCGCGGUAAUACGGAGGAUGCGAGCGUUAUCCGGAUUUAUUGGGUUUAAAGGGUGCGCAGGCGGUCUGUUAAGUCAGCGGUCAAAGCCCGGGGCUCAACCCCGGCCCGCCGUUGAAACUGGCAGUCUUGAGUUGGAGAGAAGUAUGCGGAAUGCGCGGUGUAGCGGUGAAAUGCAUAGAUAUCGCGAAGAACUCCGAUUGCGAAGGCAGCAUGCCGGCUCCACACUGACGCUGAGGCACGAAAGCGUGGGUAUCGAACAGGAUUAGAUACCCCGGUAGUC
This 459-nucleotide ribosomal RNA is filed under the name uncultured bacterium. Its description in RNAcentral is "partial 16S ribosomal RNA". It matches the Rfam family "Bacterial small subunit ribosomal RNA", at positions 338 to 795 of the family's 1533-position model. The record is from RNAcentral.